GCACAGGUAGCCAAGCGGUUGAAGGCGUCGGACUGCAAAUCCGAUAGGGAAACCUCACGCGAGUUCAAAUCUCGCCCUGUGCUCCA
This 86-nucleotide transfer RNA is filed under the name Candidatus Aalborgicola bjergmarkensis. RNAcentral describes it as "tRNA-Cys". It matches the Rfam family "tRNA". Rfam says of the family: Transfer RNA (tRNA) molecules are approximately 80 nucleotides in length. Their secondary structure includes four short double-helical elements and three loops (D, anti-codon, and T loops). Lineage: Bacteria; Pseudomonadati; Pseudomonadota; Betaproteobacteria; Burkholderiales; Comamonadaceae. The record is from RNAcentral.